ACCGUAGGGAAGGCCGAGGGUGGAGACGGCGUGAGGAUGGGCGGGACAGGGUGCGGCUCUGGCGGCUGUAGAAUCUCCUCCUUCACGUCGCCCUCCACCUGAUUACUGAGAGAAGAAAGAAAACAUGAGCGCCGAACAUUCAUGCAGUUUCAGACGCUGUUCCUUCAUCACUGCGCUCUGAGAGUUCAAGGGUCAAUUCUGGAGGCGUCUUACCUGCGGAUACGAGGCGGUUUGGGAGGCGGCGUGUCCCAUCGUUCCUCGUCUGAAUUCUGACCGAGUUUUUCUGGGCUGCCCUCUUCCUGUGGUUGCAUCUCUUCUCUGAUGGCGAGGGCGGGGCAACCUGUCACUCAUAUAAGAGGUCAUGAUGCUGCUCUUUCUAAACACAAUAUCAUCAGACACAAGCAGAUCCGAUACCUGCAAUGGACGCAGAUGGGAACGUCGUCAUGCUCCUGAUAUUCCCUCAUCAGAGCGAUCAUGUCCAAUAUGGAAUCGAAUGAUGACGGGACGUCGUGAUCAGGCC
Molecule: long non-coding RNA, 520 nt
Organism: Ctenopharyngodon idella (grass carp)
Lineage: Eukaryota; Metazoa; Chordata; Actinopteri; Cypriniformes; Xenocyprididae
Exons: 3
Source: RefSeq, a predicted model, not a curated record